This is a long non-coding RNA of Neofelis nebulosa (Clouded leopard), 1916 nucleotides long. RefSeq lists it as uncharacterized. The record is from RefSeq and is a predicted model, not a curated record. NCBI's taxonomy places the organism in Eukaryota, Metazoa, Chordata, Mammalia, Carnivora, Felidae. The transcript has 3 exons.
CCAUGGUUUGCUCUCUUUCUUUCUCUCUCUUUCUCAGAAAAUAAACAAACAUUAAACAAAACUGGGGGCUCCCAAACCACCUUCACUUUUGAUAAUUCUCUGGAAGGCCUCCCAGAACUCACAGAGGCACUCCCCGUGGCUGUGGUUCCUGAUGAAGCCAGCUAAGGGAAGAAGUGCAGAGGGCAAAGUGUGGGGGCCUCCACACGCAAAGCUGCUGUCGCCUCCCAUGCAGUCAGGGCGUGUAACACGCCCAGCCUGGGUGUGUGAGGAUUGCAAACCAGGGAAGCUUGUCUGCUGUUCAGAGUGUUUAUUGGAGCUUCCAGUAUGUAGGCAUGACUGAUUGAUUGAUUGCCCAUAUGGCUGAAGUCAGUCUUCAGGUCAACUUAACGAUACAUGAUGGGAUCUCCUGGCUACAUCUCCUGGAUGGGUCUUUCUGGCACGACCAGCCUCCACCUUAGAGUACAGAUUGGCCUGCCCUCAUCUAAACAAAGACGCUUCUAUCAGGUGCCGCAUAGAUUACCUCCCAGAAGGCAAAGACAAAGGCCAGACCUCCUCUUCAGGCAAGCCCAAAUUCUUUACUGCACCACCUGGCCUUUAUCCAAAGCUCUCCUGCAGCAAAAUAAACAUAUGCCCUAAUGUUUGGAGGUGGCAGCGUGGAGUAGGAGGCUCUUAACUCAGUUUUCAGACUAUCAAUAUCAGUGGUGCAAUCUUCCCGGUGACACGGUGCCAACGUUACACCACAUCACAGUACGGGGAGUGGACGUAACCUGAAGGGUAAGAGUCACAAGUCGGUGGCAUAUUACUGGAGUUCCACUCAAUCAUCGACAACCGGCCCAACUCGUCAUCAUGUCAUACGACCACAAUGGGUCCCAAAGCAUUCCCACCCUGGUUUUCAGGUUUCCAUUCAACUCAGCAGUUUCUAGAAACAGGAGAGGUCUCUACCCCCAGAGACGUCUACUGAGUGCUCUUAGGAGACCAUCUCGUCUCUUGCUCUGAGCCCCCACCCCCACCCCGCAAGGUGUUAAUGCAAUACUGGAUUUUUCUUGUGGCAUAGCCUAUUUAUUUGUUCUUUUGCCCUUAGCUACGAUUUCUCCUUCUCUCUAUUUGUGAUUUAUUUUUAUUCAGACGAUCUCCUGUUGGAAGGAACGCGCGCGAAGUUCAGCCUAGGGAGACGCUGUUCCAGAUUGCCUGCACUGACAUUACUUGAGGAAAUGCACCCCCCUCAGUCCAUUCCCAUUCAUACAAGAGCUACACAGUCAUACCAGCGUUCUCCCUCACCCCUUCUCCAGACCCCCCAGAAAAGCAGAGAAAUCUACCGAGUAAGCAACACCCUCAUGAAGAUAUAGUACUGCAAGAUGAUUACACCAUGGAGGACGACCGGAAUGAAGCUUGGCAUAAUCAAACACGUGGUCUGCUAAAAUGAAGAAAUUCAGCUUGAAUUUCACUGUUUCAUUAUUGUGAUGAUAAUGGUGAUACAAUAACAGAAACUAUGCGAAAAACCAGUCAGCCUACCUUGCAUUUGAACUAAGAACUCCGUCUUAAUUCUACGGGCAGCUUCACUUUCGUUUUCGCUUCUUGAGCCACACAGAGAAUCAAUUUCAUCGAUGAAGAUGAUGGAAGGUUUACUCUCUCUGGCAAGCUGAAAUAAGUUCUUAACUAGCCUAAAAAUAAGUAAAAGCUUUCAGCUUCUUAAAAGAAUAGUAAAUGACAGAGGACUUAAUGAAAAAAAAAAAAAAACACAACACAUAUACAGUAUUAUAAGAACUCUACAGAUUAAAAGGUCCAACUAUGUUUUGGUCUAGAAAAUAAGAAUACUACAACUGGAUGAUUCACUUUAUGAUUUACUAAACUAUGCUAUAUAUAACUAUACAUAUGCUACCUUUUUCCUAUGAAAUAAAUGUCAAACUAGGGACUGA